Molecule: unclassified non-coding RNA, 807 nt
Filed under: Hevea brasiliensis (rubber tree)
Lineage: Eukaryota; Viridiplantae; Streptophyta; Magnoliopsida; Malpighiales; Euphorbiaceae
Source: RNAcentral
GUUGUGUUUCAUCGGCUUGAUGAUGAAUCAUACAUGUUUGAGCGUCUUCCACAGCUGCUGCAUCGCCUUCAGGUUUUUCUUGGAGGGAGAGCAGCUGAAGAGGUCAUUUAUGGGCAGGAUACAUCGAAGGCAUCAGUUGCCUAUCUUGCAGAUGCAUCUUGGCUUGCUCGUAAAAUCAUAACCAUAUGGAACUUGGAGAAUCCAAUGGUCAUACAUGGAGAACCACCUCCUUGGAGAAAGAAAGUUAGAUUUGUGGGCCCACGACUGGACUUUGAAGGAUCACUUUAUGAUGAUUAUAACCUAAUUGAACCCCCUGUCAACUUCAAUUUGGAUGACCAAGUUGCGCAGAGAACUGAGGAGUUGAUACGUGAUAUGUAUGGAAAAACUGUUUCUUUGCUAAGAUGGCACCAUACCGCUUUGGUCAAAGCUGUGAAGGUUCUUCUUAAUCAGAAGGAAAUCAGUGGAGAAGAAAUUGAUUAUAUUUUAAACAAGUAUCCUCCGCAAACGCGCUUAAGUCUUCUUUUAGAGGAAAAAAAUCCGGGAAGCCUUCCUUUCACCAAAGAAGAACUAGGGGGCGAAUUAGAUCAUGCCCUGCUAACUUCAUCAGAAGGAAAAACCCUAUGAACAAGAUACAACAGCUUUCUGUCAUGCAUGCGAACAUAAGCUGCUGCACUGGAACCUUAUUGCUGCUGUUUGAGAGUAUAAAUGGGAUGCACAUGGAAUUUUAAUUGUCUAUUAAAACUGCUGAUUGCAAGUUAUUUCAUAAUUUUUUUAUUCCACCAAAAUGAGCAAAGAUGUAAAUAUAUA